Acipenser ruthenus (sterlet) is the source of this 534-nucleotide long non-coding RNA. RefSeq lists it as uncharacterized. NCBI's taxonomy places the organism in Eukaryota, Metazoa, Chordata, Actinopteri, Acipenseriformes, Acipenseridae. The record is from RefSeq and is a predicted model, not a curated record. The transcript has 3 exons.
GUCUCCGUCUCCGUCUCCGUCUCCGUCUCCGUCACACUGCGUUCCCACGCCUGCACAGACACACAAACCCCAAGAUGGCCCUGCUGUUUGUGCAAACAUGUGCUAUUUAUAUUCAGAGUGCAGAGAGAGCAGCUGACUGUGAUCUUCAAACUGCUGGAUCUUCAACUGCUGGAGGAGAACAAGGACACCUUUGGAGAAAUGUCAGAUUUAGACGUGGAAGAACAACUGAAGCUGUACACCAUUGUAAAGGGGGAGUACUGUUACUGGAUGGCUACCACAAUCCGGAGCUGUCACUACAGGCCAGCACAAAACCCGGACAACACUGCACUUGAGUCACAAUUAACUGUAUUUGCACCACAAGCACUAAAGCACUCACUAUGGACUUGUGAUCACGUUUGUGUUUAUUGUUGGUGAUAUCUGGACUAUUAUUUCGGGACUGAACCUAUGGAUUAAACGGAGCAAUAUACCACGCUGUGUACUGCCUGUUAUCAUUUAUUGUUUACUGUUGUCAUCAGACUCUGGAUUACAAAUAAA